CUCAUCAAGAGCAAUCGAGGGACUGGCCCGAUGACAUUGCAGCAACCAUUCAAUACGAACCGGUGCUAAAUCCAACAGCUUAAGCUGGCAGAUGAGA
Molecule: non-coding RNA, 97 nt
Filed under: uncultured Dialister sp.
Lineage: Bacteria; Bacillati; Bacillota; Negativicutes; Veillonellales; Veillonellaceae
Description: SAM riboswitch (S box leader)
Rfam family: SAM riboswitch aptamer (S box leader)
About the family: The SAM riboswitch is found upstream of a number of genes which code for proteins involved in methionine or cysteine biosynthesis in Gram-positive bacteria. The SAM riboswitch acts at the level of transcription termination control.
Source: RNAcentral